UCACAGGGGAACUGGAAAGAUUUAACUUCUACAUUACAACUAGUAGUAAGCAAAAACAAAUAUAAUCACAAACUUCUGCUUUUCUCAGUUAUUGCACUGCUCGAGGUAAGGACUCUCUAUUAAAUAUUUAUUUUGCAUUUUGUCUUUAAGCUUAUUUAAAACUUUCACAUUAAAAAAAUAAAUGUGGCUGUAUUGAUGGUGUCAAGAUUUGUCUUUCUGUUUGAGGUUUUUUUAUUGAUAAUUCUACAACUUGUACUGGUAUCUUCAGGUGAGUUCCUUGUGCUGAAAAUAAAUUAUAUAAAAAGCUUCAGAAUCGUAAAAUGGACUUUGCUUUAAUUUUUUUGUACUACUUUUGCGAAACAAGAUAUUUUAAUGUGUCUUUGUAUGUUGCUUUUUUGUUUUCAGAGCCUGCAUGUUACACAGAAUAAGGGUAGCCAUGUGAAGUGCCUUCAUAGAUUGAAAACUAAUGUGUUUUGAUGUUUGUGUGUGUUUGUACCUACAGCACUUAAGAUGUCUGUCUUUACUUUUGUGGUUUUUCUGUUCCUUCCUUAUGAACUUGGACUGGGAAUUACAGGACACUAUUAUGCAAUAUUGCCAAACAGAAUAACAGCACUAAGCGGCUCUUGUCUGCAGAUACCUUGUACAUUUGAUGCACCAGAGAACACACUCAACAACACAAAAAAUAUAUUUGGCUAUUGGAUAAAGAGGAACCCUGCUUUUCUCAAGCCAGAUAGUUUGGUGGUUUUUAAUGGAAGUACAAACAUCAUCAAAGAAUUUAGUCAUAUAGAAAUUCUUGGUAAUCUUAGUCAGCAUGAAUGUACCAGUGUUUUCUAUGGUGUCAUGAACAAUCACACAGACAAAUACUACUUUAGGGUGCAAACGAAGGAUGCAGCUAUUUGGACAUAUACAUAUCAAUACAGUCCCAUUACCAUUUCUGUCUCCGAUGUACCGGAGCUUCCCAUCAUUACACCCACUGAUCUGGAAGAAGUGAUGGAAGAAAGUACAAUCAAUCUGAGCUGCUCUGCUGAGGCCCCCUGCCCCAAACAACCUCCUACAAUAUCCUGUUCUAACAUCCCUAAAUCUGCCCACAUUACAACACAGUUACAGGAGAAACCUGAUAAAACCCAGUCAGUGUUUUCACACAUAAUCUUCAAAGCUUCAUACAAAGAUCACAGAAAGAACAUCUCCUGCACUGCUACAUAUCCAAGAAAUACAACUAAUGACUCAACUGUGGAGACCACCGUGA
Labeo rohita (rohu) is the source of this 1246-nucleotide long non-coding RNA. RefSeq lists it as uncharacterized. The transcript has 3 exons. The record is from RefSeq and is a predicted model, not a curated record. NCBI's taxonomy places the organism in Eukaryota, Metazoa, Chordata, Actinopteri, Cypriniformes, Cyprinidae.